RNAcentral lists this ribosomal RNA (484 nucleotides) under uncultured bacterium. Its description in RNAcentral is "partial 16S ribosomal RNA". It matches the Rfam family "Bacterial small subunit ribosomal RNA", at positions 28 to 523 of the family's 1533-position model. The record is from RNAcentral.
GAUGAACGCUGGCGGCGUGCUUAACACAUGCAAGUCGAACGAGAGAAGAUCGGUGCUUGCACUGAUCCGAUCGAGUGGCGGACGGGUGAGUAACGCGUGGGUAACCUGCCUCAUACAGGGGAAUAACAGUUGGAAACGGCUGCUAAAACCGCAUAAGCGCACAGUAUCGCAUGAUACAGUGUGAAAAACUCCGGGGGUAUGAGAUGGACCCGCGUCUGAUUAUCUAGUUGGUGAGGUAACGGCCCACCAAGGCAACGAUCAGUAGCCGGCCUGAGAGGGUGAACGGCCACAUUGGGACUGAGACACGGCCCAAACUCCUACGGGAGGCAGCAGUGGGGAAUAUUGCACAAUGGGGGAAACCCUGAUGCAGCGACGCCGCGUGAGUGAUGAAGUAUUUCGGUAUGUAAAGCUCCAUCAGCAGGGAAGAUAAUGACGGUACCUGACUAAGAAGCACCGGCUGAAUACGUGCCAGCCGCCGCCGUAA